AACUUGUCAUCUGUGAAAU
This 19-nucleotide unclassified non-coding RNA is filed under the name Mus musculus (house mouse). Its description in RNAcentral is "oocyte_clustered_small_RNA9698". Lineage: Eukaryota; Metazoa; Chordata; Mammalia; Rodentia; Muridae. The record is from RNAcentral.